AUACCUUUCUCGGCCUUCUGGCUUAGAUCAAGUGUAGUAUUUGUUCUUAUUAGUUUAAUAUCUGAUAUGUGGGUCAUCGGCUCACUCUUUCUUAAAUUAAUUUUAUGAGGGGGAAGGCCCACUAUAGUAGCUUGCUACUAGCUCGGACCUCUCAUGCAUUGCCUUGGUGUUGCACUAUUGCCUUGGCCUAGCGCACUCCAC
Rhododendron vialii is the source of this 201-nucleotide small nuclear RNA. RefSeq annotates it as U2 spliceosomal RNA. The record is from RefSeq and is a predicted model, not a curated record. The transcript has a single exon. NCBI's taxonomy places the organism in Eukaryota, Viridiplantae, Streptophyta, Magnoliopsida, Ericales, Ericaceae.